CUUUAUUAAAUCUUCCCCGGAGGAGAUGGAAACCGAUAUUGGAUGUUUCCUUGAAACUGCACUGGUGCAGUGCAGCGCAGCGGAAUGCAGUGCAGUGCUUGCUUACUGAAUGAUUGAGCUAGGUAACAUCGAUUAUUCUGUCUGUGCAAACUCCCUAAGGUAUCUAGGAGGUGUUCCCGCUUCCGGGGGCAGGCGAAUUUUGAAGAAGCUGGUAUGGCUUAUACAUUCAGGGGGUCUGGGUGAUUACCAUAGGUUUUGGAAGCCUGUGGUGCCUGGUGGAAUUGAUGUCUCGCCUCGCAGGCAGCGUUGCUGAUACUUCAGAGAGAGCAAAGGGUUAUUAAAACAGCCCCCCCCCCUCCAGCGCUGGGGACUCUACCGCAUCCCUGGGGAGGCUGUUCCAGUGGCUGAUUGUUCUCACUGUUUAAAAAAAAUCCAACCCAAAACCAAACAGCAAAACCCAAGUUUGUCUUGUAUGGAGAUGAAACCUCUCUCCUGGCGCAGACUUGUACCUGUCAUCUCUAUGUGGCUCCUUGUGCAGAGAGUGCCUCUGUCCUCUCUUUGUAGCCCCCCUUUAAGUGGUGGAAGACUGUGCUGAGGUGUGUUGCGUGUGUCCCCCGAGCCUUCUCCAAGGGAGAAAAGACCCAACUCCUUCAGUCUUUCCUCAUAGGGCAGGUUGUCCGGCCCUUUGAUCAUCUUUGUGGCCCUCCUUGGGACCCUCUCCAGUCUGUCUGCAUCUUUGUUUGAAUUGCGGGGACCAGAACCGGACACAGUGCUCCAGGGGUGGCCGCCUCUGCCAGAAGAGGCCAGGGUCUGCCCUGUGCCGGACAGGGCUGGUUCCAGCCAGCAGGUCACCUCCAGCAUUUGCAUGAAAGCAAGGAAGCACCUACAAGGCACCAUUAUGGAGAAAUCCCCCAAGCCCUUUCUAGGGAGCCAACAUGCUGGGGCGCCUCUCUGAAGCGCCUGUAUGCGAUCGCACGCAGCAUGGGGAAUAAGCAUGAGGAGCCGGAGAUGCGUGUGCGGUUGCAGGGCUAGGAUCUCAUUGGGAUCACGGAGAGGUGGUGGGAUGUCUCCUGUGACUCUUUAGGAAGGACAGGCUGGGAAGAUGAGGAGGGGGAGUGGCCCUUUUAGGUGAGAGAACAGCUGGACUGCAUGGAGCCCUGCCUGGGGAGGGCUGAUGAGCCGACCGAGAGCUUAUGGGCAAGGACUGAAGAGAAGACGGGUGAGGGUGGCAUUGUAGCGGGUGUCUGCUAUAGGCUGCCCGACCAGGAAGAACAAGCGGGUGAGUCCUCCUAAAGACAGAUAGGAGCAGCCUCACGUUCGCAGGCCCUGGUCCUCACGGGGGACUUCAACCGCCCCGAUAUCAGCUGGAGGGACAACACAGCGGGGCGUAAGCAAUCUAGGAGGUU
Molecule: long non-coding RNA, 1406 nt
Organism: Strigops habroptila (Kakapo)
Lineage: Eukaryota; Metazoa; Chordata; Aves; Psittaciformes; Psittacidae
Exons: 3
Source: RefSeq, a predicted model, not a curated record